UGGGGAAUCUUCCGCAAUGGACGAAAGUCUGACGGAGCAACGCCGCGUGAGUGAAGACGGCCUUCGGGUUGUAAAGCUCUGUUAUUCGGGAAGAACGAUUCGUUUGUGAACAAUGAACGGAAGUGACGGUACCGAAAGAGAAAGCCACGGCUAACUACGUGCCAGCAGCCGCGGUAAUACGUAGGUGGCAAGCGUUGUCCGGAAUUAUUGGGCGUAAAGAGCGCGUAGGCGGUAUGGUAAGUCUGUCUUAGAAGUGCGGGGCUUAACCCCGUGAGGGGACAGAGACUGUCAUACUGGAGUCUCGGAGAGGAAAGCGGAAUUCCUAGUGUAGCGGUGAAAUGCGUAGAGAUUAGGAAGAACACCGGUGGCGAAGGCGGCUUUCUGGACGAGCACUGACGCUGAGGCGCGAAAGCGUGGGGAGCGAACAGG
RNAcentral lists this ribosomal RNA (429 nucleotides) under Fusobacteriota bacterium. RNAcentral's name for it is "Fusobacteria bacterium partial 16S ribosomal RNA". It matches the Rfam family "Bacterial small subunit ribosomal RNA", at positions 355 to 776 of the family's 1533-position model. Lineage: Bacteria; Fusobacteriati; Fusobacteriota. The record is from RNAcentral. RNAcentral also lists the same sequence under 1 other name.